Molecule: ribosomal RNA, 519 nt
Filed under: Chiroteuthis calyx
Lineage: Eukaryota; Metazoa; Mollusca; Cephalopoda; Oegopsida; Chiroteuthidae
Description: partial 16S ribosomal RNA
Rfam family: Bacterial large subunit ribosomal RNA
Source: RNAcentral
GUCUCUUUGUACUUUAUAGAUAAAGAGUCGGGCCUGCUCGGUGAAUGUAAAUUGUUUUAACAGCUGCGGUAUUUUAACUGUACUAAGGUAGCAUAAUAAUUUGCCUUAUAAUUUGAGGCUAGAAUGAAUGGUUUGACGAAGGUUAAUCUGUCUCUAUCUUAUUUAUUAGAAUUUAAUUUUUAAAGUGAAAAAGCUUAAAUUUUUUAAAGGGACGAGAAGACCCUAUUGAGCUUAUAAUUUUAUUGUUAUUUUAUUCUUAAUGUAUAAAGUAGCAUAUAAAUUUUAAUUGGGGUGAUUAAGGAAUAAAUUAAUAAAAUUAAGUAACUUCCUUAGUUUAAAUAUUGUUGAAUAAAGUAACCAAUAUUAUUGCUUAUAGUAUAGUUACCAUAGGGAUAACAGCGUAAUUUAUUUAGAGAGUUCUUAUUGAAAAAUGAGAUUGCGACCUCGAUGUUGGAUUAAAGUAACCUUAAGGUGCAGAGGCUUUAAAAGGUAAAUCUGUUCGAUUUUUAAAACUUUACA